This 2330-nucleotide ribosomal RNA is filed under the name human vaginal metagenome. RNAcentral describes it as "bacterial LSU rRNA". It matches the Rfam family "Bacterial large subunit ribosomal RNA", at positions 3 to 2538 of the family's 2925-position model. The record is from RNAcentral.
UCAAGUAGAGAAGGGCGCACGGUGAAUGCCUAGGCACUGGAAGCCGAUGAAGGACGUGACAAACGACGAAAUGCUUCGGGGAGCGGUAAGUACGCAGAGAUCCGGAGAUAUCCGAAUGGGGGAACCCGGCACCGCGAGGUGUCACCUUGAAUGUGAAUAGAUAGCAUUAAGGAGGAAGACGCAGUGAACUGAAACAUCUAAGUAGCUGCAGGAAGAGAAAGAAAGAUCGAUUUCCCAAGUAGCGGCGAGCGAACAGGAAAGAGCCCAAACCUAAUGGCUUGCCAUUAGGGGUAGAAGGACUGUAAAAAGCCGAAUGGAAGGAUAGCAGAAUUAUCUGGGAAGAUAAGCCAAAGAGGGUGAGAGCCCCGUAAGCGAAAUCCGGAAAGUAGGUGAGCAGGAUCCUGAGUAGGUCGGGACACGAGGAAUCCCGAUUGAAUCCGCGAGGACCAUCUCGCAAGGCUAAAUACUAACCAGUGACCGAUAGUGAACCAGUACCGUGAGGGAAAGGUGAAAAGAACCCCGGGAGGGGAGUGAAAGAGAACCUGAAACCGUGUGCCUACAAGUAGUCAGAGCACGUUAAAGUGUGAUGGCGUGCCUUUUGUAGAAUGAACCGGCGAGUUGCGUUGUGGUGCAAGGUUAAGUCAGAAAAGACGGAGCCGAAGCGAAAGCGAGUCUGAAGAGGGCGAGAUAGUAUCAUGACGCAGACCCGAAACCAAGUGACCUACCCAUGACCAGGUUGAAGGCGUGGUAAAACACGCUGGAGGACCGAACCCACGCAAGUUGAAAAUUGCGGGGAUGAGUUGUGGGUAGCGGUGAAAUUCCAAACGAACUUGGAGAUAGCUGGUUCUCUCCGAAAUAGCUUUAGGGCUAGCCUCGUGUGAAUGAUAAUGGAGGUAGAGCACUGUUUGGACUAGGGGCCCGUCAGGGGUUACUGAAUCCAGAUAAACUCCGAAUGCCAGAUAUCAAUGCACGGGAGUCAGACUGCGAGUGAUAAGAUCCGUAGUCGAAAGGGAAACAGCCCAGAUCACCGGUUAAGGUCCCAAAAUCUAUGCUAAGUGGAAAAGGAUGUGGAGUUGCACAGACAACUAGGAUGUUGGCUCAGAAGCAGCCACCAUUUAAAGAGUGCGUAAUAGCUCACUAGUCGAGUGACGCUGCGCCGAAAAUUUACCGGGGCUAAGCAUAGUACCGAAACCGUGGAUGCAGGUAACUGCGUGGUAGGAGAGCGUUCUAAAGGCGGAGAAGGCAGAUCGAGAGGACUGUUGGAGCGUUUAGAAGUGAGAAUGCCGGUAUAAGUAGCGAAAGACAGGUGAGAAUCCUGUCCGCCGAAAGACUAAGGUUUCCUGGGGCAGGCUCGUCCGCCCAGGGUAAGUCGGGACCUAAGGUAAGGCCGAGAGGCGUAGCCGAUGGACAACAGGUAGAUAUUCCUGUACUAUUCGUAAUCGAUAAGAGCGAAGGAGGGACGCAGGAGGCUAAUGACGCAUGGAGAUGGAAUCAUGUGUAAGCGUUAAGGGAGGAUACGAGUCAAAUGCUUGUAGCCAAUUUUGAGACGUGAUGCGGAGUGAAAUCAAAGUAGCGAAGGUCAUGAAGUCACACUGCCAAGAAAAGCUUCUAGCCAGAGAGCGAGUACCCGUACCGCAAACCGACACAGGUAGUCGAGGAGAGAAUCCUCAGGUGAGCGAGAGAACUCUCGUUAAGGAACUCGGCAAAAUAACCCCGUAACUUAGGGAGAAGGGGUGCUGAAGAGAAAUCAGCCGCAGUGAAGAGGCCCAAACAACUGUUUAUCAAAAACACAGGUAUCUGCAAAAUCGUAAGAUGACGUAUAGGUACUGACACCUGCCCGGUGCUGGAAGGUUAAGAGGAUAGCUUAGCGAAAGCGAAGGUUAGAAUUGAAGCCCCAGUAAACGGCGGCCGUAACUAUAACGGUCCUAAGGUAGCGAAAUUCCUUGUCGGGUAAGUUCCGACCUGCACGAAAGGUGUAAUGAGUUGGGAUACUACCCUUGUUUGAUGGAUCCUCUAACUCGUCACACUAAGCGUGUGAGAGGACAGUGUCAGGUGGGCAGUUUGACUGGGGCGGUCGCCUCCUAAAGAGUAACGGAGGCGCCCAAAGGUUCCCUCAGAAUGGUUGGAAAUCAUUCGCAGAGUGUAAAGGUAGAAGGGAGCUUGACUGCGAGAGAGACAACUCGAGCAGGUACGAAAGUAGGGCUUAGUGAUCUGGUGGUACUGCAUGGAAAGGCCAUCACUCAACGGAUAAAAGCUACCCUGGGGAUAACAGGCUUAUCUCCCCCAAGAGUUCACAUCGACGGGGAGGUUUGGCACCUCGAUGUCGGCUC